Molecule: ribosomal RNA, 491 nt
Filed under: uncultured bacterium
Lineage: Bacteria
Description: bacterial SSU rRNA
Rfam family: Bacterial small subunit ribosomal RNA
Source: RNAcentral
GACGAACGCUGGCGGCGUGCCUAACACAUGCAAGUCGAGCGAGGAGAUUCCUUCGGGAUGAUCCUAGCGGCGGACGGGUGAGUAACACGUGGGCAACCUGCCUCAUAGAGAGGAAUAGCCUCCCGAAAGGGAGAUUAAUACCUCAUAACAUUGCAGUUUCGCAUGGAACAGUAAUUAAAGGAGCAAUCCGCUAUGAGAUGGGCCCGCGGCGCAUUAGCUAGUUGGUGAGGUAACGGCUCACCAAGGCAACGAUCAGUAGCCGACCUGAGAGGUUGAACGGCCACAUUGGAACUGAGAAACGGUCCAGACUCCUACGGGAGGCAGCAGUGGGGAAUAUUGGGCAAUGGGGGAAACCCUGACCCAGCGACGUCGCGUGAGGGAAGAAGGUCUUCGGAUUGUAAACCUUGUCAACAGGGAAGAAGCAAGUGACGGUACCUGAAGAGGAAGCCACGGCUAACUACGUGCCAGCAGCCGCGGUAAGUCACACUACA